This is a non-coding RNA of Camelus ferus (Wild Bactrian camel), 72 nucleotides long. NCBI's taxonomy places the organism in Eukaryota, Metazoa, Chordata, Mammalia, Artiodactyla, Camelidae. The record is from Rfam.
GAGGAUAUAGCCCAGUGGCAGAGUGCAUGCCUAGCAUGCAUGAGGUCCUGGGUUCAAUCCCCAGCACUGCCA